RNAcentral lists this transfer RNA (69 nucleotides) under Elephantulus brachyrhynchus (short-snouted elephant shrew). RNAcentral describes it as "tRNA-Ile". Lineage: Eukaryota; Metazoa; Chordata; Mammalia; Macroscelidea; Macroscelididae. RNAcentral also lists the same sequence under 2 other names. The record is from RNAcentral.
AGAAAUAUGUCUGAUUAAAGAGUUACUUUGAUAGAGUAAAACAAAGAGGUUUAAACCCUCUUAUUUCUA